RNAcentral lists this transfer RNA (73 nucleotides) under Deltaproteobacteria bacterium. RNAcentral describes it as "tRNA-Lys". It matches the Rfam family "tRNA". From Rfam's summary of the family: Transfer RNA (tRNA) molecules are approximately 80 nucleotides in length. Their secondary structure includes four short double-helical elements and three loops (D, anti-codon, and T loops). The record is from RNAcentral. Lineage: Bacteria; Pseudomonadati; Myxococcota; Myxococcia.
GGGCCGUUAGCUCAGCUGGUAGAGCAGUCGGCUUUUAACCGAUAGGUCGCAGGUUCGAGCCCUGCACGGCCCA